ACUCCUACGGGAGGCAGCAGUGGGGAAUUUUGGACAAUGGGGGCAACCCUGAUCCAGCCAUUCCGCGUGAGUGAAGAAGGCCUUCGGGUUGUAAAGCUCUUUCGGCAGGAACGAAACGGUGGGCUCUAACAUAGUCCGCUAAUGACGGUACCUGAAGAAGAAGCACCGGCUAACUACGUGCCAGCAGCCGCGGUAAUACGUAGGGUGCGAGCGUUAAUCGGAAUUACUGGGCGUAAAGCGUGCGCAGGCGGUUGUGUAAGACAGGUGUGAAAUCCCC
Molecule: ribosomal RNA, 277 nt
Filed under: uncultured bacterium
Lineage: Bacteria
Description: partial 16S ribosomal RNA
Rfam family: Bacterial small subunit ribosomal RNA
Source: RNAcentral